Molecule: non-coding RNA, 116 nt
Organism: Patellaria atrata CBS 101060
Lineage: Eukaryota; Fungi; Ascomycota; Dothideomycetes; Patellariales; Patellariaceae
Source: the annotation of a GenBank genome assembly
GGUCAGGUGGCCGAGUGGUUAUGGCGCAGGUUUCAGGCUAUCUGAGACUUCUGUCGAAGCGAUAUCCGAAAAUACCUGUUCGGAAACGUGCGUGGGUUCGAUUCCCACCCUGAUCA